GACGAACGCUGGCGGCGUGCUUAACACAUGCAAGUCGAACGGAAAGGCCCUGCGUUUGUGGGGUGCUCGAGUGGCGAACGGGUGAGUAACACGUGAGUAACCUGCCCCUGACUUUGGGAUAACAUCACGAAACUGGGGCGAAUACCGGAUAUGAGCUCCUGCACCACGGUGUUGGUUGGUAAGUUUCGGCGGUUGGGGAUGGACUCGCGGCUUAUCAGCUUGAUGGUGGGGUAGUGGCGUACCAAGGCUUUGACGGGUAGGCGGCCUGAGAGGGUGACCGGGCACAAUAGGACUGAGAUACGGCCCAGACUCGUACGGGAGGCAGCAGUGGGGAAUAUGACACAAUGGGCGGGCGCCAGAUGCAGCAACGCCGCGUGCGGGAAGACGGCCUUCGGGUUAUGAACCGCUUUCGCCUGUGCCGAAGAGUGCGUGACGGUACUGGGUAAAGAAGCACCGGCUAACUACGUG
This 468-nucleotide ribosomal RNA is filed under the name uncultured bacterium. Its description in RNAcentral is "partial 16S ribosomal RNA". It matches the Rfam family "Bacterial small subunit ribosomal RNA", at positions 28 to 507 of the family's 1533-position model. The record is from RNAcentral.